Molecule: non-coding RNA, 95 nt
Filed under: uncultured Clostridium sp.
Lineage: Bacteria; Bacillati; Bacillota; Clostridia; Eubacteriales; Clostridiaceae
Description: yjdF RNA
Rfam family: azaaromatic riboswitch aptamer (yjdF RNA)
Source: RNAcentral
UAAGGAGAUAAAAACACUGUCCUGUUGGUAGUCAGGACCUAUUAUUAUAAUAGCAGUAACCUGCCCUCCUGGGUUGUCCGUUCUCUAUAUAUUUU